RNAcentral lists this ribosomal RNA (303 nucleotides) under uncultured Hyphomicrobiales bacterium. RNAcentral's name for it is "bacterial SSU rRNA". It matches the Rfam family "Bacterial small subunit ribosomal RNA", at positions 20 to 351 of the family's 1533-position model. Lineage: Bacteria; Pseudomonadati; Pseudomonadota; Alphaproteobacteria; Hyphomicrobiales. The record is from RNAcentral.
UGGCUCAGAACGAACGCUGGCGGCAGGCCUAACACAUGCAAGUCGAGCGCCGUAGCAAUACGGAGCGGCAGACGGGAGAGUAACACGUGGGAACGUACCCUUUGGUUCGGAACAACCCAGGGAAACUUGGGCUAAUACCGGAUAAGCCCUUACGGGGAAAGAUUUAUCGCCGAAGGAUCGGCCCGCGUCUGAUUAGCUUGUUGGUGAGGUAACGGCUCACCAAGGCGACGAUCAGUAGCUGGUCUGAGAGGAUGAUCAGCCUCACUGGGACUUUUUCUCGGCCCAGAGACCUACGGGAGGCAG